GGGUAUUCACUUUGGUUUUUAUCACUGAGCGUAGUGGAGGUCCAACUACAGACUGGCUCUCUCUCCUCUCCUCUCACUCGACUCAAGAGCUCUACUUUGUCCCGUUAAGAUCCACAGGGCACAAUCAUGGAGGAAAUGGACUUUGAGCGGCGCCGGGAGCUGAGGAGGCAGAAGCGGGAGGAGAUGCGUCUGGAGGCCGAACGGUUGGCGAAGAAUGAUGAUGAUGAAGAAGAGGCGGCCCGCGAGAGGAGGCGCAGGGCACGCCAGGAGAGGCUGAGGAGCAGGGAGAGUGAGGAGCCCAGCGGACAGCCAGAUAGUCUGGUCAUGACCAACAGCCACAGUGUGACAGAGACGGUGUCUGUGAGCAGCUCUUAUGGAGGCGGUGGAGACGACGAAGACCAAGCCCUGCUGGACCGCAUGGCCAAACGCGAGGAGAGACGACAGAGACGCAUGAAAGAGGCGCUGGAGAGACAGAGGCAGCUGGAACCCACCGCGACAGAGGACAGCGACAGCACCGCCACGGAGAAAAACAACGAGGAAGAGGAGAGGCCCUCCUCCUGGCGUAGAGGUCGUUACCUUGAUAAUGAGGAAGAAGAGGAGAAGACAUCCAUGUACAGCUCAAGGAGAGAAGAGAAGGAGCAAGAGGAGCCAAGAGAGGAAGAGGAGGCUGCUCCUGAGGCUGGAGAGGAGGCAGAGGAGGGUGUAGAUGAAGAGGAGGAGCAGAGAGUGGAAGUGGUGGAGGAAAAACCGAGAAGGUCUUACUUGAGAGAACAGGAAUCAGCUGAAGAGUCUAAAACUCAAACUAAGGUGAGUGAGAGAGGCGGGGCCAGGGAGGAGGAGCAGAGGAAGCAGAAUGGAGGGCUGCAUGAGGAGGCGGCUCCCAAAAACCACAGGAAACCAGAGAGGACCCUCAGUCACGGCAGUGUACGUUCCGCUGAGGUGUCCGUGGGUGACGACCAGGACGACGCUGCCCGCCUAGAGGCAGAGCGCAAACUGGAGGAGCUGAAGCGUCGCCGUGACGACGCAGAGAGCGAGGAGUUUGAGAGGAUGAGGCAGAAGCAGCAGGAGGCCGAAGCCGAGCUGGAGGAGCUGAAGAGGAAAAGGGAGGAGAGGAGGAAGGUGCUGGAGGAGGAGGAGAGGCAGAAGAAGCAGGAGGAGGCAGAGAGGAAAGCCAGAGAGGAGGAGGAGAAGAAGAAGAUGAAGGAGGAGAUCGAAAGGAGGAGAGCAGAAGCAGCAGAGAAGAGACAGAAGGUGGAGGACACUAUGGAUGGGGAGGAUAAACCUUUCAAGUGUGUCAGCCCCCGAGGCUCCUCUCUGAAGAUUGGAGAGAGGGCAGAGUUCCUGAACAAGUCGGCACAGAAAAGCAGCACAGUGAAGAUGUCUCAUUCUCCUGUGGUGUCCAAGAUAGACAACAGGCUGGAGCAGUACACCUCAGCUGCCCAGCAGAGAGAGAACAAAGAGUCUCGAUCCCCUCGCUCUGGAGCGGUGGAUCUGCCCAUGGUCACCGACAGCAUACGGAACAUCAAGAGCAUGUGGGAGAAGGGCAGUGCGUUCACCUCGCCUGGAAGUGGCGGGAGCACAUUCAAGGAAGCAGCUGUGAUGAAGACAGGCGUGGCAGGCCGCAUCAACGACUGGCUGAAUAAAACCCCGGAGAGUGGCAAAACUUCAGGAGGAAGGCCAUCGGACCUGAAGCCUGUUGACGUCACCAACAAGCGGAGUCUAUGGGAAAACAAAGGCGCCUCUCCAACCAAGAACUCUCAUAGCUAGUUGACCUCACCAUUAAAUCUGGAAUAAGCCUGGAGAGUGAUGUGUUCCUGUGGCCAACAGCUGCCGAGCAGGCCGGGGGCUGUGGUCCACUACAGUGAGUAGUGGGGUUGGAGGGCACCAGGCAGUGGUCUGCACUGACGUAAAAAUGGCCCUGGACAGGAAAGGUGGCAGGCAGAGGGGAGACCAAAUCAGUCGCCAACGGGAUGGGGCACUAAUGUCUUGAAGAGGCCGAUAAAAGCUGGGGACCACGACAAUCCAAGACUCUUCCUUUGACUUUGUCUUAAGAACCAAAUAAUGACCACACUCCCAAGAGGGACCCCAAGAAAACGGAAGGACAGGAGAGAUGCUGUCCAAGCACUGUACCGAAACAAGAUCAUAUUUUUGUACGGUUGCCACGUAUAGUGCCUUUGCACAAUGAUUUUUGCUUUCUAAAAGAAACCUUAUGCUGUGAAAUUUGGACAUUUGUAUUUACUGUUACUAAUUACUUUAUUUUUACAGUCCUGCCAGGAAGUAAAAAAACUAAUUAAAUUUAGACUUAUCUGUUGUACUCCUUGCUGACAGUUUUGAUAGAGACAGAGUAGAUGAGCUAAAAGUUUCCACAUUCCAAAGAGAUGCGUGAAAUCAGUUCUCUCCCUCGUACAGACAAUUUUCCAUCUCUUUUUUUUAAUUUAUAUUUAAAGCAAAAGCUUCACACAUUGCUAUUUUAUUCAACGUUCACCAGUUCAGGAUAGAAAUAUAAGCACUUCUAGAAUUUAGCUGAUUUCACUUUUAUUAUGUCUUACCAAUAGUGCAGCAAUGUUCUGAGUAAUAUAUGUUAGCACAUGUGAUGUUUUGAAUAUGUCCUAUCAUACUGUAUCGUAUAUAACAUCUUUAUACUCAUAACAAAAGGUAUUUUUGCUUUUUUGUAUCCAGAAACUAUUCACCAACAGGCAGUUAAUUUUGGAGGUGAUAGGAGUGUUGAAUAUUCAGAAGGCCAUUAUGAUUUUUAUUAUCCUUCAUGUUAUUUUAUUUAUGUUUUAAUGUGUUUUGUUCUUUUCUAUUUCUAGCUGUUUUUGUAGCGUUUAUACCUGUUUGAUCACUUUAAAAUCUUCAGACAUUCCUUUUAAAAAGCAGUUGCACAAGGUGCCUUCACUGCUUAAAAGCUGUAGGUUUUAUAAUGUAGGAAAUCAGCAAACCAACCUUUUUUAAUCUACCUUUAACUUCUUUUUUGCCUCUAUGCACACUUUUAUGCUCAGCAAUCAUUUUCUAAUUGAGGGCAUACAAAGUAAAAUCAGGGUGCCUAAGCAUACAGCAAGAUACUAGUACAGUACAAGGAUAUUUACCACUAUGUAACUCUUCUGGCCUUAUGAUUGCAAUGACAACAUUUAUGACAGCUGAGGUACAGUACAUAAAAGCCUCAAAGCAACUAAGUAUGAUAUUACGACUUGUGAUUUUCUUGUUUAUUUUUCACUAACAUAGUCUUAAGUAGCGCCUUCCCUUUCAAUAGUCUUUGCACGGCACAAGCUUUGACUAGCAUAUGAGUGGUUUGCCGGGGCAUUAAAUUGAUCCAUAUUACUGCUCAAAAGUCUGACAAUCACAUUCCAUGGCUCCUGAAAAGAGCAGGGGAGCUUGACCAAAAUAUUUUUAAGUGUGAUUUAAUGUGACAUUUAUGUUUUUUAAUACAGUGGUUUCAUAAUGCUGUAUUGUUUUUUCUACAACCUUGUGUCCAUUUUAUGUUUUUUAAAAUUCUUUUACUUCUAUGUUUAACCAGACACUUGUUGUUUGUGUAGCAAUAAGCCUAUGCAAAACACACUCUCUGUAGUCUCUCUAAACACUCCCAAUGUCAUACAAGGGGGCAGUUUCCAACUGGAUGGAUGUUUAAACUAUUGUACCCUUGACUCAACAACAGCAAUAAAGACAUUGAGGUAUUCAA
This is an RNA transcript of Xiphias gladius (swordfish), 3679 nucleotides long. It is a transcript of the gene named caldesmon 1a, with no coding region annotated. The transcript has 17 exons. The record is from RefSeq and is a predicted model, not a curated record. Lineage: Eukaryota; Metazoa; Chordata; Actinopteri; Istiophoriformes; Xiphiidae.